This 523-nucleotide ribosomal RNA is filed under the name uncultured Hanseniaspora. RNAcentral describes it as "eukaryotic LSU rRNA". It matches the Rfam family "Eukaryotic large subunit ribosomal RNA", at positions 62 to 585 of the family's 3401-position model. The record is from RNAcentral. Lineage: Eukaryota; Fungi; Ascomycota; Saccharomycetes; Saccharomycodales; Saccharomycodaceae.
AAACCAACUGGGAUUACCUUAGUAACGGCGAGUGAAGCGGUAAAAGCUCAAAUUUGAAAUCUGGUACUUUCAGUGCCCGAGUUGUAAUUUGUAGAAUUUGUCUUUGAUUAGGUCCUUGUCUAUGUUCCUUGGAACAGGACGUCAUAGAGGGUGAGAAUCCCGUUUGGCGAGGAUACCUUUUCUCUGUAAGACUUUUUCGAAGAGUCGAGUUGUUUGGGAAUGCAGCUCAAAGUGGGUGGUAAAUUCCAUCUAAAGCUAAAUAUUGGCGAGAGACCGAUAGCGAACAAGUACAGUGAUGGAAAGAUGAAAAGAACUUUGAAAAGAGAGUGAAAAAGUACGUGAAAUUGUUGAAAGGGAAGGGCAUUUGAUCAGACAUGGUGUUUUUGCAUGCACUCGCCUCUCGUGGGCUUGGGCCUCUCAAAAUUUCACUGGGCCAACAUCAAUUCUGGCAGCAGGAUAAAUCAUUAAGAAUGUAGCUACUUCGGUAGUGUUAUAGCUUUUUGGAAUACUGUUAGCCGGGAUU